CCUUAGAGUUUGAUCCUGGCUCAGGAUGAACGCUGGCGGCGUGCUUAACACAUGCAAGUCGAACGGAGUUAUUUUUUAAGCUUGCUUUUAAAAUAACUUAGUGGCGGACGGAUGAGUAACGCGUGGGUAACCUGCCGUAUACAGGGGGAUAACACUUAGAAACAGGUGCUAAUACCGCAUAAGCGCACAGGACCGCAUGGUCCGGUGUGAAAAACUCCGGUGGUAUACGAUGGACCCGCGUCUGAUUAGAUAGUUGGUGAGGUAACGGCCCACCAAGUCAACGAUCAGUAGCCGGCCUGAGAGGGUGAACGGCCACAUUGGGACUGAGAUACGGCCCAGACUCCUACGGGAGGCAGCAGUCGGGAAUAUUGCGCAAUGGAGGAAACUCUGACGCAGUGACGCCGCGUAUAGGAAGAAGGUUUUCGGAUUGUAAACUAUUGUCGUUAGGGAAGAUACAAGACAGUACCUAAGGAGGAAGCUCCGGCUAACUACGUGCCAGCAGCCGCGGUAAUACGUAGGGAGCAAGCGUUAUCCGGAUUUAUUGGGUGUAAAGGGUGCGUAGACGGAAAAUUAAGUUAGUUGUGAAAUCCCUCGGCUUAACUGAGGAACUGCAACUAAAACUGGUUUUCUUGAGUGCGGGAGAGGAAAGUGGAAUUCCUAGUGUAGCGGUGAAAUGCGUAGAUAUUAGGAGGAACACCAGUGGCGAAGGCGACUUUCUGGACCGUAACUGACGUUGAGGCACGAAAGUGUGGGGAGCAAACAGGAUUAGAUACCCUGGUAGUCCACACCGUAAACGAUGGAUACUAGGUGUAGGGUGUAUUAAGCAUUCUGUGCCGUCGCAAACGCAAUAAGUAUCCCACCUGGGGAGUACGGCCGCAAGGUUGAAACUCAAAGGAAUUGACGGGGGCCCGCACAAGCAGUGGAGUAUGUGGUUUAAUUCGAAGCAACGCGAAGAACCUUACCAGGGCUUGACAUAUGCAGGAAUAUGUUAGAGAUAGCAUAGCUCUUCGGAGUCUGCAUACAGGUGGUGCAUGGUUGUCGUCAGCUCGUGUCGUGAGAUGUUGGGUUAAGUCCCGCAACGAGCGCAACCCCUGUGAUUAGUUGCCAACACGUAAAGGUGGGAACUCUAAUCAGACUGCCGGUGAUAAAUCGGAGGAAGGUGGGGACGACGUCAAAUCAUCAUGCCCUUUAUGUCCUGGGCUACACACGUACUACAAUGGCCGCUACAGAGGGAAGCUAAGUAGUGAUAUGGAGCAAGACCCUAAAAACGGUCUCAGUUCGGAUUGAAGGCUGAAAUUCGCCUUCAUGAAGCUGGAAUUGCUAGUAAUGGCAGGUCAGCAUACUGCCGUGAAUACGUUCCCGGGCCUUGUACACACCGCCCGUCA
RNAcentral lists this ribosomal RNA (1385 nucleotides) under uncultured bacterium. Its description in RNAcentral is "bacterial SSU rRNA". It matches the Rfam family "Bacterial small subunit ribosomal RNA". The record is from RNAcentral.